UCCAAUGUGGUGUAGUGGCCAACAUUGCUGUCUUUCAUUAGAUUGCACAGCAGCCCGGGGUUCGAUUCCCCGCAUUGGAA
Non-coding RNA from Lentinula lateritia, 80 nucleotides. The record is from the annotation of a GenBank genome assembly. Lineage: Eukaryota; Fungi; Basidiomycota; Agaricomycetes; Agaricales; Omphalotaceae.